CCAGAGUCGUAAAGGCAGAAACAAACGUGAUCGGAAUCAUGUAGAAGAAAAUGGUCAGAGCCACUAUAAUGUAGAUGACGUACUGCCGUAUCUGUCGCUGAAAAAACUUAAUCGCAAGAUUAGUCCAUAUGAUUUGACGAGGUUCAGGUGCAUCCAUCACAAUCCAUUUGUCAGGCAUUGUGGCAUGCAGGCUCUGUGCUGCAGAGGCUGCGGUCACCCUGUUAGUAAAGAAGACCAGAGCCGCUGCUUGCUGCUUAUCUCUCAAGGUGGCUAUCUGCUCAGCUUCAAGCUUUGGAGUCAGUUCACUGAUCUUCUCACUGUAGUAUUCUAUACUGUCCACCUUUUCCCCAAUAAGACCUAGGAAGCCGGUUUUGUUUGUGGGUCUUACUCCUUCCGGUUUGCCGGUUGUCUUUGAUUCUCCAUAAAUUUUUUCAGCACGUACAAGCUUUUUCUUGUACCCUUCCAACUCUUUGUAGAUUUUGUUAACCUACAUGAUAACAUAUAACAAGGAAAGGUCUCUCAAUGGAUGAAAUCAAAAGAUGAAAGAACAAGUUGUUCUACUAUGCCUACAUUCUCUGUCACGAUAUAUGACCAAAACUUUCACGAGAGGAACUUUUAAGUAUACGACAGAUCUUUAUCCCUCCAAGUAUUUCCGGGCAUGGAUGAGAUAAUGCCUCUAUGAACAAUACGGGGUCUGCGGCAGUGGCACAGUAAAGAAGUCCAUAAACCAUGAUCUUUUUAUUUUUUAUUUUAAAGGUUGAACUGGGAAGUAAACUACGAUAUAUUGAAUACUGCAUUCCCAACCCUCUCUUGGUACUGAAAAACACCUAUUUUGUCCUUUAAUAAAUCAGAGAGCACCCAUACAGUGGGGUAAGGUUCAACCAUGAUUGUUUUCAAUACACAUACAAUGAAGUCAUGACCUCAACUAUUUGUGUUAAGUAGGACUAUCUCUCUAUGGUGGUCUUAUUUUGGUUCAUUAAUAGUAGUGCGGCUACUUCUGCCAUAUGACAAACCACAUAAAUGCACUUCCUUGUUUUGUGGACUUCAUAUCACACUCCCACUUAAAGCUGCCCAACAAACUGCUAUCUCCCUUUUGCUUCGGUCUUUCCUUGAGAACCUCUACAUAACAAAAGGGCUCAAUACUCAUCCAGCCCCACAGUAAUACAUAAUUACUCAUCAAGCCCCACAGUAAUUUAUAAUCCUCCUCAACUAGAAUUAAUUAUGAAAAUAGUCCAAAGCCAGGUCAGCAGUUCCUAACCAGUACCAUGAUAUAAAUAGCACUAGCUGCACCGCCACUGUGGUGGAGAAAUCAUUAAAAGACUAACCAUCAGGAACCACACAGUCUUUUUUAUGAUAUUCUCACCUGUGUAUUCUAGCCAGCAACCAGAUACUUUAAAUAGUCGCAAUAUAUACUCACAUGCAUGUCAAUAUAGUUAAAAAAAGGACAAAGUUUGCAGAACUUAUAGCAAGACUUAGCAUAGCAACAACUGAGGAACAAAUAGAGUAUUCUAGAAAGAAACAUUAGAAAGCAUACCUCUUUAUUAUUAGUCACUAUCAUCGACCUGUAAAAUGCAUCGGGAUAAAUAGACUUGAAAUAUGAAUCAACUUGUUCCUUCAUAAUUUGACCUUCUGGGGCAGGAGGUAUGUCUCUCACAAGGACAGCAAAGUGCUCUGCUCUCACUUCGGGAAGUAUUAAAGCAGCUGCUCUCAAAGCUAAAACGUGUUUGUAUGCCUUCCACAACAGGUAGUAUGCAACAAUUGAGACCCAGUAAGUAGCUAUCAGGAAUACCCACAACCUCGAACUUUUCUCCUGUACAUACAAAAGAAUGUGACUUAGAAAACAAGCACUGAUUUUCUCUACUCAACAACAUUGUCCACCAAUUCCUUCCCCACCAAGUAUGAUAUGAUGAAUACCUCCAUAGUUUCCAAAAUCUACUUCGAUCAAUGUCCUAAAAUUAUGGUAGAAUUAGGAAAUGCAACAUUUCUCUCUACCCUUGACAAGACAAGAAAAAAGAAAAUCCUUGUGCAAGAUUUCUAAAACUUACUGCCACAUUUCCCAUUGACAACUUGUCAAGAUCACUGAAUGUCCCAUUGCUGGUUGUGUCUGAUGAUGCGAUUGGAGUUUUGUCAGUGACAGCAACAGGUAGAAGAAUCGGUAGGAGCACAAUGCCGGAUAAAACUAAUAUUCCCAACACUGUCACGAAGUAAAAAGGGAAAAAGUCUUCAGGAUUGUCACUUCUACAGACGGCAGAGUAUUUCAAAUAUACAAGCACAAGAGUUCAUCUAAAACAAUACAAGAAAAACUAAAGUGAAAGCUUCCACAAUUAUGGAUUCUAAAACAUGCAAAACAGAGUUCUGACCAUCCAGGGGACCUCGAUACCAAUAUGUAUGCCAUAAAUUAAAUUGAGUGAUUGUAGAGAAUACACAAACAAGAAGCAAAGGAUAACAGAGAAAUGGCAACUUUAGACUUGUUUAUAAGUCCCACCUCAUUUGUGUCGAGAAUUCCAAUCGCCUGUAAUUAUUGAUAGCUGAUGACAGAUAUAAUUAGAUUGCCUGCUAGUACGCGGGACUUCUAUGUAACUAAGAAUGCCAACCCCCCAUUACUGUCCCACAUAUGGGAUUACACAGGUAAAAUUCUUAGGAAAAUAGAAAAUCUACUUCUCUUUUCUCCUUAAAAUGAGAAACCAUCCCUUCCCCCCCCCCCCCCAAAAAAAAAAAAAAAAAAAACAAAACAAAUGUCACAAAGCCUAACUUAUUUGAGAGGUUAUAAACACGAAUGCUCAUCAAAAUCUGAUUGUAGCUAAUUUCCUGCAACAACAGAAUGCAAGUAUGGUGAGUGCCUCGAUAUCAACUCUUCCGGUUAAGCACAACUGUUAGUGCAAGUGGUAUGUAUCACCAGCCCCACAGUAUGUGUUUAAAAAAACGCUUGGGCUCACCAACCAUGUUGCAAAAAGGAGCGAUGACUAUCACUUAGGAUAAUGGAGCAGCACAAAUUGCAGGUCAUAUUUGGCCCUAGAAACUCAAAAUCCACUCACAAUCACGAAAAAAGACCUAUUUUCGUAUUUCCAUCUAGGUGAGUCUAACUUCUUACUCCACAAAUUGCGCCAUUUAAUCAAGUGAUGCAGGAUAGGAUUCCGGCCAUGGCAUGAAAGCAAAAUGCUGCGAGAAGUGUCAAUGUAGCCCUUGAAAUGGAUUGUCCUAAAGGCAUGAUUUAGCAACCAAAUCAACCACUAAAAUUCAUCAAACAGACCGAAAAUCAUAUACCAUAAACGAGCCAAACCAAAACAACACCCAUAAAAGAAAGAUUAACCAAUAAAAAGGUGCAGCCACCUUCACCUGAGAACCACUAGAAAGCACAAAAAGAAGCAAUCAUCUUCAGAAAGAACAGUCCACGACUCCCACUCGACUUGCAGAAAGACGCACCCAAGCGCCGCGUUCAAACCAACCAGUGAACAACGACGGACCCCGCCGCCCCCGGCAGCCGCUACUCCCCCAGAAGAAGCGCCAACGUCACAUUACAAGCACCCAAACAAAGCAAGAAAGGAACAGACAACGGCGGAAAAAAUAAAAAUAAAAAUAAAAAUAAAAGGCACGGCACGGCCACUCACCGGUGCUGAGGAAGACGAAGUAGACGGCGGUGUCGACGCCGGACACGGCGACGACGUCCUGCUCGGUGGAGGAGAGGGCCUCGCGGAUCCAGGCGAAGGGGUUGCGGGAGGUGCGGUUGCCGCCCUCGAAGGGGUCCACGCCCCUGAGGAGGCGGUUGGGGUAGUACACCACCUUGUUCCCGGGCCGGCGGGAGAGCCACGGGAAGAGGACCAAGAGGACGAGGAAGAUCACGAAGGACGUGAUCAUCGACGUCAGGAACGCGCUGAAAUCCAUCUCGGUAUCCCCCGCCGCCGCCGCCGCCGCCGCCGCUGCCGCCGCCUACCUCUGCCGCCUCGGCACCAAGCUUCCUUCACAGCGUCACAGCGCCAGGGAGGGAAAGAGAAAGACAGUUUUUUUCUUUCUCGCGGAAUGCGAAGUGGGCAGGGAGAGGAAAGGUCAGGGGGGAGAGGGUGGUGGUGGGCUAUGGCGUUGGUGGAGUUAUAAUAACGCAAAGCAUGUCGACUGGAGAGACGAGGAGAGAGAGAGAAAGCUGACGGGGCUUAGAGAGAGAGAGAGAAAAAUCUGGCUGCUGUGGAGAAAAUGGUGAUGAGCUGGCCUGUGGGGCCGCCUCGCUGCUUUGCUUGCGCGGCUCGCUCUGCGUGGGAAUUAUCUUUGCUGCAUUUUUUCUUUUGGAUUCGUGGUGGUGCAGCAUGUUGCAUCGUUAUUUUACUGCACAGACAGAGAGAGGGAGAGAGGGAUGAAGGAAGGGAGACCGUUGAGGUGGGGGAGAGCGCUUUCUUUUCUUGACCCGCCCGCCUUCCUGCGAAUCGGGGACGUUCUUGUCCGCGCGGCAAUCGAAUCCUCCCGCGGUCCUCACGCGUAGCAAGUGGUCGACGGGACGGGACGUGCCUUGCUACUCUCCGUAGACAGUUCAUACCCACCCAGUUCAAACACAUCAUAAAGUCAACACCGACUUAGCUUCUGGUCGGUCGACAUACACAAAUUUCGGAUUACGUAAUUUUCUUUUCUCCAUUUCUUCCAUCAACUUAUCCAUCUUUUCAAAGAACUCCCUUUUCUUAACUUCUACCAUAAAAAAAAAUAAUAAUAAUAUCAUGAAAAACCCCAAAUAGCUACGUCCGUAAUUAAUUUACCCAAGCCAAUUUUUUGACAACCAAAAACUCUAAACUAUUACUUCCGUAUUAAAUUUCUCAAACUAAUACAUUUAUAACAAAUUUAACCUCUGUUUAUUUCCAUUAAAAUUGGAUCAAUAUCAUACAAAAUCACAAAAUGGUACACAUGUGAUAAAUAAAUGGUAAAACCCCAAAAUGGUAUAUUCGUUAACUGCCACGUGUCAUCCAAUUCAGUAACUUGACGAUAAAAUUUAAUAAAAAUUAACGGAGAAUAAAUUUAUCACAAAUAUAUCAAUUUAGUUUUUGUUGUCACUAAUACACUAAAUUUGGGUUUUUAUGGCAUUGACAUUAAAAAAUAAUUAUAUAAGUGUAUUAAAGCCCCAAAACUUAUCGCGAAAGUGCAAUUAAAUCAUAAAAAUUUGAAAAGUACAAUCAAAUCACACAACUUGUCAUGAAAGUAUAAUCGAAGCUUGAAACUUUUGAAAAGCAAUCAACAAAAAGACUUAACUAGAUCAAUUUAACAAGUUUUAGAAUGUUAAAGCUCUUUUUAAAAGUUUUAGGGCUCAAUUACACUUUCAUAACAAAUUUUAGGAUUUAAUUUCAUCUUCAUGACAAGUUUUAGAAAUUAUAAUACAUUUAUCUCUUUAAUAAUAAAGGGAUGUAGAUACAAAAUACUUUUAUUUGCUGACAAUUUUUUUUUCUUAAAGUUGCCCCUUGUUUAAAUAAAGACAUGACCAUUUCUAAGAAAGUAGACACCACAAAUUCCAUAAUAUUCAUAUGGCACUCGAUUUUAUGCCAUACAUUUUCAAUCGAUCACCCAAGUGUCUGAAAAUUUGUUAAGACAUUAAAACUUGUGGCUUUUGUGGUGAAUAUCUUUUAAAAGUUAUGGCAUUAAGUUAUUGAUAGAAAUUAUUAUGACACCAAAGUAAGCAUUAUAUGAAAGUUAUAGCAUACUAGGUGUCCACCUAUCAUCAUUUCAUCACUCAUCUCCUUCUUGCAUCGAGGGAGAAUUACAAAUUACAAAUGGGCAAAAUGUCUUGUUGUAUGGAUGUUAAUUCAAUCUUAAACUUUAUAGUUUACUUAAUUUAGUCUUUAACAUUUACACGAAAUUUCAAUUUAGACCUUCUGACCAAGUCUCAUUGGAAACCGCUAACGAGGCAAUGUGCCGCGUAAAAUAGCUGACGAUGGCUAAACCGCUAUGUCAGCAAUUUUCAACAAAAAUUGAUCAAAGUGACCAUAUUGAAAUUUUGCCCAAGGGUUUAGAACUAAAUUAAUCAAAUUAAAAUGUUUAGAGUUGAAUAUAAAUUUUUAGGACUAAUUGGGCAAUUUUCCCUCAAUGUCAUUCUAUGUAUUCUAAUGAAAAAACAUGUUAAAAGGACACUUAUUCAGCAGCAAUAAGUGUGAUUAGAAGUAUAAAUCUUUUAAGUACCUAGACAAUUUGCUUUUUUUCGUAUUUUUCCCCAUAAUUAGUGUUGUGAAAUUAGUUUUUAACAAAAGUCAUUUUAGUUAAAAUUAUAUGAUGUAAUUUCUAUGAGCCUUCUUUGUAUUGUAGCCACACAUCAAGAGUUACCACUUACACACUUACUACCCAUGAUUAAAUGAGACAGUUGAAGUAAUUAAGCAGAAAGGGAAUACCUUACCAAACGCACUCUUCUAUCUUUUCUUGAACAAUAACACGUUUACAAAAGAUGUGCAAAAUUACACUAAAAAUUACCACUAAAACACUUACUACCUAUGAUUAAAUGAGAUUAGUUAAAAGUAAUUAAGCAGAAAGGAAGACCCGAAUAAAAGCACUCUUUUAUCUUUUCUUGAACAAUAACACGUUUAUAAAAGAUGCACAAAACUACACUAAAAACUACACAGAUGAAACACAAACAAAUUCGCUUCCUAUGACAUUACUGGCCAAAUCUAGCGUAACUUCCUACAAGUUUGCCUGCUUUGAUAAACACAAGAAAGAAACAUUCCAGUUGGGGAGAAAAUAUACUGAUAAUAUUUACAUCAAGCAAACGAGCCCGCCCUUGAAACAUGAGACAGAGCAUCCUCGAAGCGGUCAUCUUCCACCUUCUCCGAGCACAAGCUUGGAGGGACAUAAGUUCGGAAGAUGCGCUCCAUGUGCAGCGUCUCCUUCAGCUCGUGUGAGGCAACUUCCAGCGCCGGGCAGCAGAAGAAGCGAUAGAACUUCUUGUUACACACGUAGGCAAAGAUAAGGCUCGAGAUGAUCAGCGGCACCAGGAAAGGCGCAAAGACGAAUUUCUUUGCCCCAAAGUAGGCAAGCAUAGUGAGCUGGUAAAGGACAAGAGCAGCUAGGAUUCGCAAAUGCAUGUGCGGCCACAUUCUUCCGUAACUCUCAUAGGAUGGAACAUAAACCUUAAGUGCCUGUCCACCAAAACGAUCAUAUGAAAGUUAAGGAAUGCUCUAGAAGAGGCAAAGAUGUGCAAAGUUUUUGACUUGAAACUAAAGUAUGACGUCGAAUUAGCCACUCAACCUGAUUUCGAAGAAUAAGCCAUCCUAAGCCGAAGUAUACAACACCAAAUGGGAUGAUCAGAGGAGCAAUGACAGAAUAGCAGAGGGUAAUCGUGACGAUCAGCAUGUCUCCAGGAACUCUGGUCGCGUAUUUUAGAUCUCCAGGAAACCAUGCUUCUUUGACUUCAGCUUCAGUCUUGCAAAGGUAUUUCCUCUUCAAGUGAAAAAUAAUCAGAGGAACGAUCCGAGAAAGCUCGAGACCGUAGCCAACAAAGAACCUGAUGGCCAUUUCCCCAAAUUCAGACAUUAGCAUCAUCACUCUACCAAGAAAGCAGAGGAAAAAGUCCAUGCAAGAACUAUGAAGUGAAACGUAACCAUACUAUUGAUAAUAGAAGACUACAAAUUAUGAGAAUAACAAACUGCCCUAAUGCACACAUAAGCAAAUCCAACUCAAUUUUUUUUCUUUUUGUUCCCUUUCGCAUCAAAUAAGAAUCAGAAUCUGUCACUCAGCAAGUUAGAAGUUAAUAGAAGACUGAGGAGGAACAAAAACAUCUUACUGCAAAGCAACGUAAGUGAGGAAAAAUGUUGCAUUUCCAGGUAGACUGGCCGCCAGUACUGUGAGGAGAGAGUUGGGAUCUUUCUCAAUCUCUUUGAAUGUAGCAAACAAGGUUCCACCCACAGUAACGCCAAUAAACACAUUCAAGACCGUGAAGUAGAAGUAUUUUCCAGAGGCAGCACGUUCUAUAUGGCUCUGGGAAGGAAUCCCCUCUAGCUUUGACAGAAACAACAGCAACUUGGGCAACAAAGCCAGGAACACAAUGAGCGCAAUCUGAGGGAGAUAAGCUUCCAACACAGUUUUGAUCGCUGCAAUUUUCACAAUCGGCUUCAAAAACGGGAGAUAUUUCUUCAGAUUUUCCAGAGUCGUAAAGGCAGAAACAAAUGUGAUCGGAAUCAUGUAGAAGAAUAUGGUCAGAGCCACUAUAAUGUAGAUAAUGUACUGCCGUAUCUGUCGCUCGAAAAACUUAAUCGUAAGAUUAGUCCAUAUGAUUUGACGAGGUUCAGGUGCAUCCAUCACAUUCCAUGUGUCAAGCAUUGUGGCAUGCAGGCUCUGUGCUGCAGAGGCCGCGGUCACCCUGUUAGUAAAGAAGACCAGAGCUGCUGCUUGCUGCUUAUCUCUCAAGGUGGCUUUCUGCUCAGCUUCAAGCUUUGGAGUCAGUUCACUGAUCUUCUCGCUGUAGUAUUCUAUACUGUCCACCUUUUCCCCAAUAAGACCUAGGAAGCCGGUUUUGUUUGUGGGUCUUACUCCUUCCGGUUUGCCGGUUGUCUUUG
This 8510-nucleotide long non-coding RNA is filed under the name Eucalyptus grandis. Its description in RNAcentral is "long non-coding RNA (EGRA_LNC002146)". Lineage: Eukaryota; Viridiplantae; Streptophyta; Magnoliopsida; Myrtales; Myrtaceae. The record is from RNAcentral.